AACGAACGCUGGCGGCAUGCCUAAUACAUGCAAGUCGAACGAGAUCUUCGGAUCUAGUGGCGCACGGGUGCGUAACGCGUGGGAAUCUGCCCUUGGGUUCGGAAUAACAUCUGGAAACGGAUGCUAAUACCGGAUGAUGACGUAAGUCCAAAGAUUUAUCGCCCAAGGAUGAGCCCGCGUAGGAUUAGCUAGUUGGUGAGGUAAAGGCUCACCAAGGCUACGAUCCUUAGCUGGUCUGAGAGGAUGAUCAGCCACACUGGGACUGAGACACGGCCCAGACUCCUACGGGAGGCAGCAGUAGGGAAUAUUGGACAAUGGGGGCAACCCUGAUCCAGCGAUGCCGCGUGAGUGAUGAAGGCCUUAGGGUUGUAAAGCUCUUUUACCCGAGAUGAUAAUGACAGUAUCGGGAGAAUAAGCUCCGGCUAACUCCGUGCCAGCAGCCGCGGUAAUACGGAGGGAGCUAGCGUUGUUCGGAAUUACUGGGCGUAAAGCGCACGUAGGCGGUUAUUUAAGUCAGAGGUGAAAGCCCGGGGCUCAACCCCGGAACUGCCUUUGAGACUGGAUAACUUGAAUCCAGGAGAGGUGAGUGGAAUUCCGAGUGUAGAGGUGAAAUUCGUAGAUAUUCGGAAGAACACCAGUGGCGAAGGCGGCUCACUGGACUGGCAUUGACGCUGAGGUGCGAAAGCGUGGGGAGCAAACAGG
RNAcentral lists this ribosomal RNA (702 nucleotides) under uncultured Alphaproteobacteria bacterium. RNAcentral's name for it is "bacterial SSU rRNA". It matches the Rfam family "Bacterial small subunit ribosomal RNA", at positions 28 to 776 of the family's 1533-position model. Lineage: Bacteria; Pseudomonadati; Pseudomonadota; Alphaproteobacteria. The record is from RNAcentral.